GGUCUGAAAUGCAAAUUUGUUACCUCAUUAUUCAUGUUUUCCCAUCACCUGCACGUGCUGAAAGACGAUUGUGCAAGCGAGUUCAACGUAUUUUCUAUCUGCAUCCUUGUUUCUUCUUCCCUUCCAAGUUCGAGGAACAAAAUUAGUUUGCCAAAAACAACAUCAUUUCCGUCGGCAGCCUGGAAACUCGUCCAAAAGCUUUGCUCUGAAGCGGAGUUUGCAACACGUGUUGACUCGGUCCAAAACCAUGAUGUCGGAUGUGUGAAUUCUCUUGUGCUCACAACGGUAAUUAUCAAAAGUAUUAUUAUUAUGAAAGGUAGUCUGUCCUUAAAAAAAUUAUCUAAUGUGUCUAUAGAUCUUCUGAUACUUUACGCUAAAUUUCAAGACAGUAUCGAGCAGAAACUCGAGUAGCGCACGGUUAACGAAACCAGCAUUUUGAAUUAAGCUCGAGGAUGUUGUUAUGUUGUGCACAUUUUUCACUGUAUAAUAGUUUUCUCGGGCUUUAUCCUUUUGUAUAAGCAUGUUGAGCUUCAUCCUAAUGCAGGUCAAGGUAAAAGGUGUUCAUUGCAAAAUUUCAAACGGUGCCGCCAAAAUAUCUGUGCGUGUUUGGAAUCACUGGCACGGGGGAAGGGACUGUGGAUUAAGUUCUUGAAAUUGCAUAAUAAAGCCUUCGACUCUAGCACUAUUCACACACAUAAGCAGAUUUGGUGGUUAUAUUAACGUCCUGUGAACUUAAAUGUUUGUCAUUGAUGUUUUAAAUGUUAUCAUCCUUAUUGGGUAAAAAGCGAACUAAUCCGGUCGUGUUUUAAUUGAUUUCUUCAUAAGAAUUAUUGCUGAGGAGAAACAAGGGGCAUAAAAGCUUAGGAAGGCUUCAGUAAAAGGACUCACUGAUGCCUUGGUCAACAGUCAACUCAUCAUCCAUCUGGCAAGCCAAGAGGACAAGCAAAAGGAUCGAAAUCAAACUUAUUCGUUGUAAAGGGCAAAGGCAACUCAUUGAGCGUAAGUCCUCCCAAGGCCGCGACACCAACCGAAGCCACGUGGAAGCUGUAAUGGUACUUUGAACUCGUUUCUUCGUGCUUAGAGACUACAUUCAAAGCAGAAUCACAAGACGAGUUACUGUUGCAUGAUUACCUUUGCUUCAAAUUUGAUAAAGUUUCACAAAGUACAUCUGCGGUUUCUUCUGUUUCUCGUCACGAAGAUUAUUAUCACAAACUCCAGCACUCGGUGUACGUCUUCAAACGGCCGCGAAAUGUUGAAAUGAAAUUCAAACUACAAUUUGUCAUGAAUAUGGAUUAAAGAUUGGAGCCAAUCGCGCACAAGUGCGUCAAAACUUUUGGUGCGAACUGUAUUCUCACGCUUUUUCAAGGAGCUUUUGUUGGAUUGUUAUUGAGAAAGCAUUUUGUUUUGGAAUAUUUUUGGCGAAUU
Long non-coding RNA from Orbicella faveolata, 1425 nucleotides. Lineage: Eukaryota; Metazoa; Cnidaria; Anthozoa; Scleractinia; Merulinidae. The record is from RefSeq and is a predicted model, not a curated record.